UGGGGAAUAUUGGACAAUGGGGGGAACCCUGAUCCAGCCAUGCCGCGUGUGUGAAGAAGGCCUUAUGGUUGUAAAGCACUUUAAGCGAGGAGGAGGGUACUGGUAUUAAUACUACCAGGUACUGGACGUUACUCGCAGAAUAAGCACCGGCUAACUCUGUGCCAGCAGCCGCGGUAAUACAGAGGGUGCGAGCGUUAAUCGGAUUUACUGGGCGUAAAGCGUGCGUAGGCGGCUAAUUGAGUCGGAUGUGAAAUCCCCGAGCUUAACUUGGGAAUUGCAUUCGAUACUGGUUAGCUAGAGUGUGGGAGAGGAUGGUAGAAUUCCAGGUGGAGCGGUGAAAUGCGUAGAGAUCUGGAGGAAUACCGAUGGCGAAGGCAGCCAUCUGGCCUAACACUGACGCUGAGGUACGAAAGCAUGGGGAGCAAACAGG
This 430-nucleotide ribosomal RNA is filed under the name Pseudomonadota bacterium. RNAcentral describes it as "Proteobacteria bacterium partial 16S ribosomal RNA". It matches the Rfam family "Bacterial small subunit ribosomal RNA", at positions 355 to 776 of the family's 1533-position model. The record is from RNAcentral. Lineage: Bacteria; Pseudomonadati; Pseudomonadota.